Molecule: long non-coding RNA, 1018 nt
Organism: Herpailurus yagouaroundi (jaguarundi)
Lineage: Eukaryota; Metazoa; Chordata; Mammalia; Carnivora; Felidae
Exons: 2
Source: RefSeq, a predicted model, not a curated record
CUGACUGCGGGCCAGGGUGGAAGGCCGGGGUCCUUGAAGGGCGGGCCCCCAGAACUCCCACCGAUCCGUGAACUCCGGGCGGCCCGCCCCCCCCCAAGAUUUGCGGGACGGGGCGUGUAGAGCUCCAAGUGUCGCUUGUUCCCCAGGAACGACGCAGUUAGAGGACCGCACGCAGGCCCCCAUUGGAGCGAAGUGCUGGUGUCCCCUGGCACAGACAGCCCAGGAAAAGGACCACAGGCAGCCCCCCAACUUUAGAAGGGUGUCCCCUGCGCUCUUGGGCACCCACAGUGCAGGUGAUGCACCGUGACCAGCACCCCAUCCCGCCUCUGUCUCCUGGGUACAGACAGUGCAGGUAUAGGACCGUGAGCAGCAACCCCCCCCCCCCCAGUUGAGCAGGUGCCCGGGGACAGUGGUAAGGGCUGUCAGGAUUGUGCAGGAGGGGCCUCCAGGUGAGGGCCUGGAGGCCCGAGUCACCCAGAUCCCUCUCAAGCCACGUGCCGUUGAUGCGUUGAAGUGUUUGGAACAAUAAUUUCUCCUUUCUUAUAAAGACGAAGUUAUUGAUCUGCUUUAGGAUGAAGAUAAUUACUACCUAAAAACGUACGUGUUUCCCCUUCUCCCGGAGUAUCACUGCUCCAGAAACUGAACUCUUUAUCAUGUAGAUUAGUUCUGAGUUUCUGAGAUUUUGUCCUACUGUUUGUGUACCUCAGGGAGUUAGCUGUCUUCUGGCCUGGAAGCCUGAAGUCUUGUGCAGAGCUCCUGCGCAGGCGGAGUGUGGUGCCCCCUGGCCCCCAGGACCAGACUCACUGUGUGAUCCUGUAUCACAGGAGCAGUAGAAGACCAACGCGGGCAUGACGAGCGGGGCUAAGCCUGUGCACGUGGCAGAGAUUAAAACCAUAACAGGACCACAUCAUAAGUAGCUCUACAGUCCUAGAAUCAGUGGAUACAUUCCUCAAAAAAAAAAAAAAAUCUAACUUGCCAAUACCGACUGAAGGAAAGUGACAAGACCUGAAAGUCCAAA